CGAGUCAAAAUUGAUUGGGUGCAGAAAGAGAAAAAAUUUCUGAGGUUGCAUUCUGGGAGAAGAAAUUUAAAGAGUAUAUGUGGAGUGAAAAGAAAUGUGUUUAAUUUUGGGAUUAGAAAGAGAGAAAAAGAUUAAUUGAUCAUAAGAUCCAAAAUAUGAAUAAGUAUUAGCCGCAAAUUAUGAUUUUUAAGAUAAAAGCUGAAAAUUUCAUAACUAUUUAUUAUAUGAGCAAAGAAAGUCUCUUCCUUCACUAAAUUGCUGCUGGAUCACGAAUGG
This 276-nucleotide long non-coding RNA is filed under the name Phaseolus vulgaris (common bean). Its description in RNAcentral is "long non-coding RNA (PVUL_LNC004285)". The record is from RNAcentral. Lineage: Eukaryota; Viridiplantae; Streptophyta; Magnoliopsida; Fabales; Fabaceae.